This is a long non-coding RNA of Lingula anatina, 278 nucleotides long. The record is from RefSeq and is a predicted model, not a curated record. NCBI's taxonomy places the organism in Eukaryota, Metazoa, Brachiopoda, Lingulata, Lingulida, Lingulidae.
AAAGGACCGGGGUCAGUAAAAGAUGGAGAAGAAAGCCUUGUGUCUCAUUGCCACAAUUUCCACGAAAUGAUCGGAAAUCUGGGACUGAAAUUGGCAUCGAUCUAUUAUGGAAUGCAUUUGCCAGUAAACAGGUGGUGAGAGGUUUGCUCCAACUGUAAACGCGUCGUCCGACUUAAACAAUGUGAGGACUUUUUGGCAGUGACUCAACCGUGCACGAGAAGAUUGAAUACGUUCUCCACCAAUGACGUCAGACUCGUGUUCUACGGCGGCUGAAUCCA